RNAcentral lists this long non-coding RNA (1099 nucleotides) under Carica papaya (papaya). Its description in RNAcentral is "long non-coding RNA (CPAP_LNC001461)". The record is from RNAcentral. Lineage: Eukaryota; Viridiplantae; Streptophyta; Magnoliopsida; Brassicales; Caricaceae.
AACAAUCAUGCACUAAGACUUAUGGAUGCAUGGGAUCCUCAUAGACUUCCAAGGGUAGGUCAGCCUGCGGUUCCUCACUUUCUUCCUCAUCUGCGGGGGCAUGGAAAGAGUGAAUUCCAUACGCUCAGUAAGGAAAACAGUAUUAAAUUAACAUCGUAAGAUUUCAAAAAUUAAUUAUUUUAUCUUACCUUUUAACUUCCUUGUUUACCUAUUUCACAUUAUGGAAAAAUAUUUAUUUGUUAAGAAAACGAUAUGUUAACACAGAACAUCAAACAUACAUCAUGUUAGCUAAUAGAGAAAACUAAAUAAAUCAUGAAAUACUUAGGUUUUCGUGUCAUGCUUCUCGAAGUCGUUACAACUUCCAUCUCUGAGGGCAGAUACAGAUUUCCAACUUCCCAAGUGGAAUGACCAGAUCAGAUACAGAUAUAGAUACGACAAUUUACUCAGGCCCAUUUCCAGUUGGCCAAACCAUGGUACAAUUUAUGACCACGAUCAUACCAGCCAUAGUGGUCGUAACAGAUAUCCACAGUCAUGACAUUACUUAGCCACGAGUGACUCCUACAGAUAGUGCGACACCACUCUCGUUAAAGGGUACACCAUCAUCCACUGGGAGUGGUCCUCUUACAUCUUUCCAGACCAGAUAAGUGAAGGAGAAACAGAUACCCCGAAAAGCAAAGGGAACAGAUACCCCAAACAACAAAGUGAAUAGAUACCCCGAAGGGUAAGGGGAACAGAUACCCCUCAGAGAUAAAAAGUCUAACGAGACACUUGAUACAAUAUGCAUGUUAAUAUAGAUACACUUCGGACCAUACGAGCUUCAUUCCACUUUUUUUUUUGUGGUAUACUUUUUACUUUUACCGAUCACAUAUUAUAUUUAUUACAUGCAAAUUCGUCAAGCGUGUGCAAUUCACAUAGUGUGCUUGAAAACAGGAAUAACUCGACUCAUGUGAACACAGAGGCAUACCAAAUAGACAAAAUCACAAUCAUAUUAAAUUAACUUGUCUAAAAAUACUCCUUAAGACGUCGAAAGAAAUACUAGAUUCCUUACCAAAACCUUGAACUUUCUCCUUCACCGUUCUCCUUUCUUUCUCUUCUUCUC